Long non-coding RNA from Caretta caretta (loggerhead turtle), 1126 nucleotides. RefSeq lists it as uncharacterized. Lineage: Eukaryota; Metazoa; Chordata; Testudines; Cheloniidae. The record is from RefSeq and is a predicted model, not a curated record.
AAGUGUGCAUACUGUCCUCUACAUUGAGGGAAGAGGCGAAUUUCAUAUAAUUUGGGGUUUGUAUUCCAAGGGUGGGAGUGGCGGAGGUGGACAUCUGGGUGCUGUGGCAGGCCCCUUAAGUUGAGCCUUCUCAGAGCGUAUCUCUGUCUCUCUGUGCAGCUGCGUGUGGCCCUGCCUGUGUGCUUCGCUGGAAAAGGCAGGGGAGCCUAGCCCAGCAAGACCAGGUAGAAGGGAGCCCAGGCUGGCAGAACAGUCUGACUCAGUGGCGUCCCAGCACCUCACGUGACAUCCCAGGAGGUCCAGCCCGUCACACCAAUGAAUACUAAAAUGCCAGUGGGACUAUUUGCAAUACUGAUGUAACAACGUGCAGUAGUGCAAGUCAACAUCGGACAAAAGUGUUUUACUGAGAUGAGACUAUCUGCAGUGGACACUUACAUAUCUCUUGCCAAGAAGUAUGUACUGACUACAGCAUCCUGUGACUGCUGCAUAUGAAAACACUCAGGUGCCACGGUGUAUUCAAAGAAGCAUUGGAGAGAUACUGCACAAGCCUACUCUGUUAUGCAAUUGUAAAUAAAUGAGUUGCACUCGCUUCUCUGCUUCAGGAUCCAAACUUUUGAGCUUCUCUAUAAAAACAUCCUUUUAUUGUGCAUACAGUGUUCUUGACAAGUCGAUGAAGCAUCCAGCGUGGUGGUGUUGGUGGGGGCUGAAAGUUCUGUCAGCGAGUGUCAUAACGUUAAUUUCAUAUGCCUUGUUUUUUCUGUCCUGAGAAACUGCUGUAUUGGAUUGGCAGAAUGUGUACCAUCAGAGGUGUCUCUGAAGUUUUUGAGGAACUUUCCGCAGAUAAUUGUGUCUACUUAGUCAUAAUGACCUAUAGCUCAUCCUUGACAAUCUCAAAGGCACCUAAACAGUUUGGACUCACCAUCAGCCUGGAAAAAAAACAAAGUCCACUUCCAGCCAGCUCCAUCAACCACUAUCACUGAGCCAAACAUCACCAUCAGUGGUGUAGACCUCUCCACGCGGAGCCAUCAGGAAAUGGACUUUCAAAAAUUCUCAGGGCUUCUAAGGGGGAGGGUGGGAUGGUCGUUUACCUGGCUGCAGGGCAGUGGAGUCCAAACCACUGACCAGA